GAUGAACGCUGGCGGCGUGCCUAAUACAUGCAAGUCGAGCGAACAGACGAGGAGCUUGUUCCUCUGAUGUUAGCGGCGGACGGGUGAGUAACACGUGGAUAACCUACCUAUAAGACUGGGAUAACUUCGGGAAACCGGAGCUAAUACCGGAUAACAUGUUAAACCGCAUGGUUCAACAGUGAAAGACGGUCUUGCUGUCACUUAUAGAUGGAUCCGCGCCGCAUUAGCUAGUUGGUAAGGUAACGGCUUACCAAGGCAACGAUGCGUAGCCGACCUGAGAGAGUGAUCGGCCACACUGGAGCUGAGACACGGUCCAGACUCCUACGGGAGGCAGCAGUAGGGAAUCUUCCGCAAUGGGCGAAAGCCUGACGGAGCAACGCCGCGUGAGUGAAGAAGGUCUUCGGAUCGUAAAACUCUGUUAUUAGGGAAGAACAAAUGUGUAAGUAACUAUGCACGUCUUGACGGUACCUAGUCAGAAAGCCACGGCUAACUACGUG
Molecule: ribosomal RNA, 497 nt
Filed under: uncultured bacterium
Lineage: Bacteria
Description: partial 16S ribosomal RNA
Rfam family: Bacterial small subunit ribosomal RNA
Source: RNAcentral